UGACUGUUUUCCAAAAACAUAGCCCUUGGAAUUAUCAAAGGUGUAACCUGCCCAAUGGUUCUUAAUUCAAUAAAAACAAUAAUUUUAAAAAAGAACUUAAAGGACGCAGUAUCUUGACUGUGGUAAUGUAGCAUAAUCACUCGCCAUUUAAUUGAUGGAUAGUAUGAAUGGUCAAACGAAUAUUACACUGUCUUUAAUGAAAAAUUAAUGAAAUUAAAAUAAUAGUAAAGAUGCUAUUUAAAACUGUAAGACGAAAAGACCCUAUAGAGCUUAACUACAUUCUCUUUUAAAUAUAAAAGAAUAAAACCUCUUUAAACUAAGGAGAAAGGUAGUUUAGUUGGGGCGACUACCUUCUAUAAAAAACGAAGGCAAGCAAUGUUAAUGAGACACUUAUUGUAUAAUACAUAAAUUUAACAAUUACAAAAGUAGGCCAUAAUGACCCAUUAAGACUAAGUAAGAAGCUUAAUGAUCAAUAAAUAAAAGCUACCUUAGGGAUAACAGGAUAAUUUUUGUUUU
Molecule: ribosomal RNA, 516 nt
Filed under: Leuckartiara sp. JRH-2012
Lineage: Eukaryota; Metazoa; Cnidaria; Hydrozoa; Anthoathecata; Pandeidae
Description: partial 16S ribosomal RNA
Rfam family: Bacterial large subunit ribosomal RNA
Source: RNAcentral